RNAcentral lists this long non-coding RNA (344 nucleotides) under Elaeis guineensis (African oil palm). RNAcentral's name for it is "long non-coding RNA (EGUI_LNC044233)". Lineage: Eukaryota; Viridiplantae; Streptophyta; Magnoliopsida; Arecales; Arecaceae. The record is from RNAcentral.
CAUAUAAAAAUUUAUAAUAAAUUGAUUAUAUGAACUUAUAAGAGAUUAAAGAAUCAAAUCCAUCUAUAAUUCUUUUUGCAUAUCCAGCCCGAGCUUCCUAAGCUCCUCAAUGUCCUUGAUCACUGUCAUACAAUGCUUAUGGACAAACUGCCCUUCGCGUAUCUUCAAAUUGAAGAGUCACUUGGAUACUUCGAAGCACACUGUAUGGCUCUGCUCACCAUACAAUUUUUGCAGGUGAGUUAUCAUAACCCUGGCAGUGGGCAUAUGCUCAUGCUGGCUUUGCAACUCGUUUGACAUAGAAGUCAGCACAUAGCAUUUGAUCCGACUGUCUUCAUCCAUCCACU